Small nuclear RNA from Zalophus californianus (California sea lion), 190 nucleotides. Its record names the gene U2. It matches the Rfam family "U2 spliceosomal RNA". Rfam says of the family: U2 is a small nuclear RNA (snRNA) component of the spliceosome (involved in pre-mRNA splicing). Complementary binding between U2 snRNA (in an area lying towards the 5' end but 3' to hairpin I) and the branchpoint sequence (BPS) of the intron results the bulging out of an unpaired adenosine, on the BPS, which initiates a nucleophilic attack at the intronic 5' splice site, thus starting the first of two transesterification reactions that mediate splicing. NCBI's taxonomy places the organism in Eukaryota, Metazoa, Chordata, Mammalia, Carnivora, Otariidae. The record is from Ensembl.
GUCACUUCCCAGCCUUUCGGCUAAGAUCAAGUGUAGUAUCUGUUCUUAACGGUUUAAGAGCUGAUACGUCCUCUCUCUGAAGACAAUGUAUCACAUGGGUUUUUGGAAUUAGGAGAAAGAAUAGGAGCUCACUCCGCCCACUCCACACAUCAGCCUGGUGUUGCAGGACCAUUACUUCAGUGUAGAGAAA